CAUCUUACGAGUACAGUUCUGACAGUAAGGGAUGAAGGCUAGGGUCGCGAAAGGGAUUAGAUACCCCUGUAGUCCUAGCAGUAAACACUGCACACUAAACAUCGGUACCUCCUCGAGAGGCAUCGGUGCUGUAGCGAAGGCGUAGAGUGUGCUACCUGGGAAGUAUAGUCGCAAGGCCGAAACUUAAAGGAAUUGGCGGGGGGGCACUACAACGGGUGACGCGUGCGGUUCAAUUAGAUUCUACACUGUGAACCUCACCAGGAGCGACAGCAGGAUGAAGGUCAGUCUGAAGGGCUUACCUGACACGCUGAGAGGAGUUGCAUGGCCGACGUCAGCCUGUGCCGUGAGGUGACUUGUUAAAUCAAGUAACAGGCGAGACCCAUGUGUAUACUUACUUUUUUGAAGAACAGUAUACAGACUGCCGUGGUAACACGGAGGAAGGUAUGGGCUACGUUAGGUCAGUAUGGCCCGAAUCCCCUGGGCUACACGCGCGCGGCAAUGCUGCAUUCAAUGGGAUGCAACUCUGAAAAGAGAAGCUAAUCCUAAAUAUCCAGCUUAGUUCAGAUCGAGGCUUGUAACCCAGCCUCGUGACGCUGGAAUCCGUAGUAAUCGUUCUUUAUCAGAGAACGGUGAAUAUGUCAAUGCCCCUUGCACACACCGAAAUAAAUGUGCCAAGCAGUAUACAAAGCUAGAAAGUGGAAAUCUUUCUUUAUAGGCAAAAAGGCAGGCGCUAUCAGUAAUGAUAUCGCUGA
RNAcentral lists this ribosomal RNA (752 nucleotides) under groundwater metagenome. RNAcentral describes it as "bacterial SSU rRNA". It matches the Rfam family "Archaeal small subunit ribosomal RNA", at positions 673 to 1478 of the family's 1478-position model. The record is from RNAcentral.